GAAAGUAAGGCUGAAAACCAAAGAAAGAUUUCUAAUCUACUUUUUAGCAAUAAAAUUGUUAUACUUUUU
This 69-nucleotide transfer RNA is filed under the name Spongiocaris panglao. RNAcentral's name for it is "tRNA-Ser". Lineage: Eukaryota; Metazoa; Arthropoda; Malacostraca; Decapoda; Spongicolidae. The record is from RNAcentral.